AUCACCUAUCAAAGUAAACAAAUCAUUACUAUAUAUAUACGCUAUCUAAUACGAAUAUCCAGGAUCGUUAUUGAUUAUUAAUUUAUUACAUUAUGAGUUUACAUAUCAACACUAGUUGAUUAGGUCUUUGUCUAGAAUCUUCACCUUCAUCUUGUUUUCUUACUUUUCACCAUUCAAACACCUAAUCAAUAGGUUUUUGGAUGUUGUCAAUCACUAUCACUGUGAUCCGGAUCUUGUUUGGGACUCACAAUGGUCGAUAAUAAAUAAGUAGACCCGGCAAACUCAACCCACACAUUCAACUUUGGGUCAGGAUGGGGAGAUUUGAUGGAUUUUAGGUUGGGCGACUUGUAAGAAUUUGCUUAUUGCUGUUCAUCCAAACACAGUGUAUACCACUUGAAUACAUUAUAUUUCGCGAGGUGCACUGAGGCGAUAGGGACCUUGGCAACGGGGCACAAGGCGCAAAGCGAAGGCUCACACAUCGCGUACGUACGCGAGAGGAAAUGUGUUUAUAUAGUUUUUUUUUUUAUAUUUGUUAUAAGGUUCUAUCGUCGCAUAUUUAGAUAUAAAUAACCUCUGUAUACAACCUAAUUAGCUAUAUGUACAAACCUCUUGUUGCACAAAAUCUGCCCAUGUACAAGUGGCAUGCGCAUUGAAAAUCUGAUCUUGUACAAGAGGCACACCCGAUGUGCAAUCAUCAUUAGCAUUUUGACCUACGCCUCAUGUAUGUUCGACGCCUCAAGCAAUCAUAAGCGCACAUCCCUGUUGUUAUCCAAACCUCCUUAUAUGUAACACUUUAAAAUUAAGAGAAUUCAGAGAGGGCCGAUCUCAAUUUAGCAUAUAGUUAACCAAAAAAGGACAUUAUUGAUGUAAAAGAAUUUAGCAUAAAGUUAGCCAAAAAAUAACAUUAUUAAACAAUGAAAGAUAACAUUAACAACCGAGCCUUCUAUUUGCAUAUACUGCCCCACCCAAUUGAGUGGUAGCGCUAGCCCUUUGACUUUCCGAAUUGGAGGUAAUGGCUUGGAGUCUCGUCUGGGACAUUUUGUUCCGGGUUGAGCCAGGGGAUUUUCGCAGUUGUGGGUUUCCUCCUUAGCAGAUGAGCCAAGUCAUCAUGUUCUUCAGGUGGAAGGGUGAUCCCGGGUGUUACUCAAAUUGGAACAAAUUUAAACAAAUUGGAGGUAAAAAAAUAAAUUAUUAUGAUGACGUGCAUAUCCUAUGGACCAAGCUUUUUGGGCCUGGGCUUGGGCAAGUUCGGCUCAUUGGCCCUGAUCCAGCCCACAUCCUCUCCUUCGCAAAGAUGGGGCAUCGAGCAUCCACUUGAUGAUCGCUGUCAAUGUGUGGCUAGCCCACUUGGUACAUGCACGCGCCUCUUAGAAGAGAGGUCUCAGGUUCAAAUCUAGGCAAAGACGUAGUUUAGAUUUAUUGGUAUAAUUUAGAGGAGUACCAUUUGUCGUUCAAAUAAAUAAAUAAACUUGAUGAUGGCUUCAUCCCAUUUAGCUCUAUAUUAUACUCUAUAAAUGUCUUGGCAUAGAUUAGAUACACAUAUAUGUUGAUACUAAUCUUGGUUUUAAAAGUGUGAUUAUAUGAUAUUGGUUUUAAAAAGUUUGCAUUGACCCUAACGUUUAGUUAAGCUUAACGAGAUUAUACUUGAUGAUUAUGAACGACAUGUUGUGUAGAGUCUCCUUGCUCUAUGCUUAAAAUAACUAGCUCACAACACCCAAGGGUGUACCAGAAGGUUGGGAUUAUCUAUAAGAGUGUUCUCAAUAGAGUUAAGACUCGUAACCUUAAAUGAUCAUCUGAAAGCCUUAAUUAUAGGUUGUUCCAGAUUCUGUAGCAGACCAUCAUUGACUUGGUAGCAGUUCGCUACUGCCUGUCGAGGAUGAUUAGUCAUGCUACACGUGCCAACUACUCGCUUAUGCCUUUCUUGUCACGUAGUGGACCACCAAGCUUCAGGUAGCAGUCGCGGUCCGCUAAGCCCUUUUUUUCACAUUCAGAUUGUCAAGAAACCUCAGUUUCAUAUAUUAUGAUUUUUGUAACCCAUUUCCUAUCUCGGGAUAUGCCCAUUUGAAGGUUGGGCCACACCCAUGACAUGUAAUUGCAUAUUUUUAGAAAUCGGGGUGUUACAAGUGAUGUCGAAGUCUUGAACACCUCACUUGAAGAAUAUAGUAAGGAUCAAAGUCAACAUUUCAAAAAUCUAUUCACUUAGGACGUUCUCCGACACAGCUUAAAGUGGACGACAAUACUCAAAAUGCUUAAACAAAUAAGCAAUUCACAAAGGAAAAAGUCGAAGACACCCGACAACACAACCAGCGGUUCAGAUGCAUGUUGUUUCGUGGAUCUCAAUGGGAGCAUCGACUAAUUAUCACAUGAACCACAAUGCCCCCUAGGAGGACAAAACAAAUUCAAGACAGGCAACAACAUCCUUAGUGGAAGAUGAAAAAUUGGAUAAAGCGUUGUCAAAGUUGACGAGUUUUAGCACCAAAUGCGAGGAGGUCGAAAACAAAAAAUGCAAUUAAAUGAUGAUGCGAAGGUUGGGAGAAUUUAAAAGUAUUAACACUGGACACCGAACACCUUGAAUCGUUUGCUUGUGAAGGGGCCAAAUUUUAAAUGCGAAGAUUCCCAAACAGCGUUGGGGUUGUAAUUUGUUUAUUUUAUUUUUAGUAUUUUUUUAUUAUAUUUAAAUAUGUUUUUAGUUAGUAUUAUGUAAUCUUUUAAAUGAUUAAUCGUUUAUUUAAGUUACAUUUAAUUUUUAUU
Molecule: long non-coding RNA, 2751 nt
Organism: Helianthus annuus (common sunflower)
Lineage: Eukaryota; Viridiplantae; Streptophyta; Magnoliopsida; Asterales; Asteraceae
Exons: 3
Source: RefSeq, a predicted model, not a curated record